Molecule: ribosomal RNA, 1172 nt
Filed under: human gut metagenome
Description: bacterial LSU rRNA
Rfam family: Bacterial large subunit ribosomal RNA
Source: RNAcentral
GAAAGGCCAAUCAAACCGGGAGAUAGCUGGUUCUCCCCGAAAGCUAUUUAGGUAGCGCCUCGUGAACUCAUCUUCGGGGGUAGAGCACUGUUUCGGCUAGGGGGCCAUCCCGGCUUACCAACCCGAUGCAAACUACGAAUACCGAAGAAUGUUAUCACGGGAGACACACGGCGGGUGCUAACGUCCGUCGUGAAGAGGGAAACAACCCAGACCGCCAGCUAAGGUCCCAAAGUCAUGGUUAAGUGGGAAACGAUGUGGGAAGGCACAGACAGCCAGGAUGUUGGCUUAGAAGCAGCCAUCAUUUAAAGAAAGCGUAAUAGCUCACUGGUCGAGUCGGCCUGCGCGGAAGAUGUAACGGGGCUAAACCAUGCACCGAAGCUGCGGCAGCGACACUAUGUGUUGUUGGGUAGGGGAGCGUUCUGUAAGCCGUUGAAGGUGUGCUGUGAGGCAUGCUGGAGGUAUCAGAAGUGCGAAUGCUGACAUAAGUAACGAUAAAGCGGGUGAAAAGCCCGCUCGCCGGAAGACCAAGGGUUCCUGUCCAACGUUAAUCGGGGCAGGGUGAGUCGACCCCUAAGGCGAGGCCGAAAGGCGUAGUCGAUGGGAAACAGGUUAAUAUUCCUGUACUUGGUGUUACUGCGAAGGGGGGACGGAGAAGGCUAUGUUAGCCGGGCGACGGUUGUCCCGGUUUAAGCAUGUAGGCUGAUUGUCCAGGCAAAUCCGGAUAAUCAAGGCUGAGGUGUGAUGACGAGGCACUACGGUGCUGAAGUAACAAAUGCCCUGCUUCCAGGAAAAGCCUCUAAGCAUCAGGUAACAUUAAAUCGUACCCCAAACCGACACAGGUGGUCAGGUAGAGAAUACCAAGGCGCUUGAGAGAACUCGGGUGAAGGAACUAGGCAAAAUGGUGCCGUAACUUCGGGAGAAGGCACGCUGAUGUGUAGGUGAAGCCCCUGCGGGCGGAGCUGAAAUCAGUCGAAGAUACCAGCUGGCUGCAACUGUUUAUUAAAAACACAGCACUGUGCAAACACGAAAGUGGACGUAUACGGUGUGACGCCUGCCCGGUGCCGGAAGGUUAAUUGAUGGGGUUAGCUGUAAGGCGAAGCUCUUGAUCGAAGCCCCGGUAAACGGCGGCCGUAACUAUAACGGUCCUAAGGUAGCGAAAUUCCUUGUCGGGU